RNAcentral lists this ribosomal RNA (505 nucleotides) under uncultured bacterium. RNAcentral's name for it is "partial 16S ribosomal RNA". It matches the Rfam family "Bacterial small subunit ribosomal RNA", at positions 28 to 507 of the family's 1533-position model. The record is from RNAcentral.
GACGAACGCUGGCGGCGUGCCUAAUACAUGCAAGUAGAACGCACAGUUUAUACCGUAGCUUGCUACACCAUAGACUGUGAGUUGCGAACGGGUGAGUAACGCGUAGGUAACCUGCCUGGUAGCGGGGGAUAACUAUUGGAAACGAUAGCUAAUACCGCAUAAUAUUAAUUAUUGCAUGAUAAUUAAUUGAAAGGUGCAAUUGCACCACUACCAGAUGGACCUGCGUUGUAUUAGCUAGUAGGUGAGGUAACGGCUCACCUAGGCGACGAUACAUAGCCGACCUGAGAGGGUGAGCGGCCACACUGGGACUGAGACACGGCCCAGACUCCUACGGGAGGCAGCAGUGGGGAAUCUUCGGCAAUGGACGAAAGUCUGACCGAGCAACGCCGCGUGAGUGAAGAAGGUUUUCGGAUCGUAAAGCUCUGUUGUAAGAGAAGAACGGGUGUGAGAGUGGAAAGUUCACACUGUGACGGUAUCUUACCAGAAAGGGACGGCUAACUACGUG